UACGUAGGGUGCAAGCGUUGUCCGGAAUUAUUGGGCGUAAAGAGCUCGUAGGCGGUCUGUCACGUCGGCCGUGAAAACCUGGGGCUUAACUCUGGGCGUGCGGUCGAUACGGGCAUCACUAGAGUUCGGCAGGGGAGACUGGAAUUCCUGGUGUAGCGGUGAAAUGCGCAGAUAUCAGGAGGAACACCGGUGGCGAAGGCGGGUCUCUGGGCCGAUACUGACGCUGAGGAGCGAAAGCGUGGGGAGCAAACAGG
RNAcentral lists this ribosomal RNA (254 nucleotides) under uncultured bacterium. RNAcentral's name for it is "partial 16S ribosomal RNA". It matches the Rfam family "Bacterial small subunit ribosomal RNA", at positions 524 to 776 of the family's 1533-position model. The record is from RNAcentral.